UCUAGCAAACUGUAGAAGUACAAAGGACUAAAUUCCCAGUUUCACCACAAUGCAAGAACACAAAUUCCAUCGCCGCCACAGAUUGACAUUACAGAGGGAAUCGACAUGCAAACCAAGUGAGCUCUGAGUUAAUCUGUAUGUGCGCCGCGUCACGUGGAUCGCAGCUUGGAGGCAGCCAGCAUUAAAAGGAACCUGUCAAGCUAAGUGUGCUUCUCAACCUUUCUGCCAUUACCCUGACAUGUUUUGUGACCCGUGAAUUGAAGUCUUGUCAGGACCUGGUCAUUUUACCAGCUCACAACACGCGCAAGAGAACUCCCAGUAAAUCUGCUACUCUCAAAUAAAAAUGUUUUCUGUCUCCUCUGCUCAGCAGGUGGCACUGACUGGCUCCCCCCGCCCCACCCCAGCACAUAUCCUCCCCACUUGUCAGUUGGUCCCUGUGAUGGCUCAAGGACAGCCCAAGAAAAUCUGGCUUUAGGCUCUGGCCUUGCCAGUAAGUGGUGGAUGAAAGGGGAUGCUGGAAAUCGGCUUGGAUGUCAGCAAAUCCAGCUGAUCUGAGAAAGCUCUGCUGGAGUGUUGCGAUUGCCUGAGUGGUCGCAGGCUGGCUGGUGACUCUCUCCACUCGGGAUGAGGCUGGUUCCACCACAGGCUCUUGAAAGCAGAGGAGUUAUAAACAUGGGAACAACCAAAUGGAACUCUAAGGGACACUUCAGAUUUUGUUGUUGUUGCUGUUUAAAGCCGACGCUGCUAAUGGCCGCCGGCUCCCUCCACCUUCCCUCUCCACCUGGCAACAAGAAAGCGCCACCGUGACAGCGCGGCGCCGACUGCUCGCACCGGGUAUUGUGUACGUCCACUCUGCACCUUGGGUCACUAUUGCUGUGCCAACUGCUGGGAAGUAUCAUACAGUUACAGGAUCAAGGUGGUGGAUGCUCAUGGUUAAGCUUAUCUGCUGACUGAGAAUCAUAACCGGCCACUAUCAGAACAUUUAGGGGAAAAAAUACAUUUUAUGGAAGGUCUGUUUUUAAUUUUUUUGGGCGGGGGGUGGGUUCCUAAUCUAAAAGCUCACAUGCAAACAUAUUGAUUCCAGAAGACAUUUAGUCUGAACAGUUCAAGCUCUUCAGUUCUUUAUUCAUUCAUUCAUAUCUUUAUUCCAGACUCUAAAAGAUCCAUAGUAAAAGGAUAAAAAAAAAAAG
Xiphophorus maculatus (southern platyfish) is the source of this 1190-nucleotide long non-coding RNA. RefSeq lists it as uncharacterized. NCBI's taxonomy places the organism in Eukaryota, Metazoa, Chordata, Actinopteri, Cyprinodontiformes, Poeciliidae. The record is from RefSeq and is a predicted model, not a curated record. The transcript is spliced from 3 exons.